UGUAGUGAAAUUAAAAAGGAACAACUGGGCUUAAGCAGAAACGGGUCGUGGGCGGGUCGGUUAGACCCGCCCGGUUCGAGGUUAUAUAAAUAGGGUGUAAGACCCAUUUCUUUCACUUUCUUCAUUCAUUUCUCUCUCUUCACUUCUCUAAUCUCACGUCUCCCUCUUCUCUGUUCUUCUUUUCAUGAGUUUUCCGGCGCGGUGGCCGGUGGUGCACCACCGUGCCGGAGUUUUCAAAACCCUCCUUUUUCAAAAACAAUUACAUAUUAUUAUAUCCUUUUUCGCAUAGGUGAUAGAUCCGGACUUAGAUUUCAAAGAAAAGCAACAACACGUUCUAGAUCUACAUUCAAACAACACGAAAAUAAAAUACUACCUUUUUUUACCUCGGAUUCCGAUCUGCUUCUUCUCUAAUCUUUGAAUUCGCUUCUGUUCAUCAAACUCGGUUCUGAUACUUGUUGAAACGGAGCGAUUGAACCUUUGUUUAAAUCGGAUCCGUUACUCUUAUUGUUGUGGGUUCGGAUUCGAGUUUGUAAGUGACGGAUUCAAAAGAAAAGGUGAUGUUUAAGUGCGAAACUUGAUUUAUUUGAGGUGCUUAUGAACAGAUUCGGUUUGAAUAAAGUGUUGGUUGAAAUCGGUUUGGAUUUGAGUGUUUGAUUUUGAAAUUUUUUGAAAGAGAAAGAAAAUUAGGGUUUGAUGAUUGCGGCUACUGAUUGGUGAUUCUGUGGUUUCUCGGUUUGCGGCUGUGGAAAAUUGUCUGUCUUUUCUGUAUUUUGCAGGUUUGCUUUUAUAGCAUUAGGGUUGGAUUGAAUAAGGAAAUAACUUGCAGAAGUUACUACCGCGUUCCCAGAUUUGGAAACAAAAAAUUGACCCUGUGAAAUUGGCUGAACACGAGGCGUACGGAGGAGAAAUGAAAAAAGAAAAAAAAGGACCCUUGUUGGAAUUUUAGGACUUAUUAACUUUAUUGGACAAAAACUGGAAAAUAAACAUUUAUUAACUAUUAAAAAAAAAAGUAACUAACUUUAAAAUUAAAAAUAAA
This 1036-nucleotide long non-coding RNA is filed under the name Medicago truncatula (barrel medic). RNAcentral describes it as "long non-coding RNA (MTRU_LNC008586)". The record is from RNAcentral. Lineage: Eukaryota; Viridiplantae; Streptophyta; Magnoliopsida; Fabales; Fabaceae.